This is a long non-coding RNA of Equus quagga, 5772 nucleotides long. RefSeq lists it as uncharacterized. The record is from RefSeq and is a predicted model, not a curated record. NCBI's taxonomy places the organism in Eukaryota, Metazoa, Chordata, Mammalia, Perissodactyla, Equidae. The transcript has 4 exons.
AAUGAAUUUAAGAAUGAUCAGUAUCAAAAUUUUGCACAGCUUGGUAAACACUUCUGCAGCCUGUACUAAAAGGAGAUUCUACAAUGAAGCUCCCUUACUGAGAAGCUAAUAGGCUAGGAAAAGCACAAUUUAAACAUACUUUCCUGGUGAGAGCCAUUGAUGUCAUCUCCAGACCAGCUCAGCUUUUGAGGUGAUCAUUACCAGAGGUGGAGUUGCACGUGUGCACUGGCUGAGCAAGUUCCUCCCAGUGCUCAAGUCACAGGACAAGCCAAAUGGCAGAAAGUGAAGACAUACGGAAUAUACUUGACGCAGGACACUAUCAGUGUGAAGUGAGUCAAAGUUCUCAUGCAACUUUUCACAGCAGCUGCAGCUGAAGUCAGAGAUAAAGAGAUAUGAGGUAGGACAUCAGAGGUAUUUGAUACCUCAGGCAAGGCAAUUCCAGUUUAUCAGCAACUCAGGAUCUUUUUGUCUCUUGACUUUCCAUCCCUAAGGUGAUACCCUAACCAUAUGGUAGAAAAUAACUCCUACUGCAUCUUCAUUCAAGCCAGUGGGAAAGGGAAAAAGAAGGAGAGGGUACACCUUUUUCUUUCAGAGCAAAAUACAAAAGUUGUGCUCGCAUCCAUUGGCCACAGCUUAGCCACAUGGCCACACUUGGCCACCAUGGAGCCUGAAAAACGCAGUUUAGGAUGUUCUGAGCAGCUGGGUACCUGGUCAGAAAUCAGAGAUUCUAUUCAUAUAAAACAGUAGUUUUAAACUCAUACCCUGAGCAGAAUUUUAGAAACGUGUGGUGGUAUUUUGUUUGACACAAUGACUGGAAGUUCCUCCUACCAUUUAACUUGAAGUUGGAUGAACUGCAAUGUCCAGAAUAGCCUUGUGUAAUGAAGAGUUGUUUUGUGCUCUGUAUGUACGCCUUUUCAAAAUCCUGAAGGAUGUCCAGGUGAGUGGAAAAAAAAUUAUAAUUUCCUAAGCGUAGAGCUUAACUCCAUUUUCCAUAUAAAUGUGCAAUUGUAACAUAAACUGAAUUUUCUGGAGGUGUACCUACUCCUUCAGUCAAGGAAAAGUUGUUCUUUAUUAUAUUUGUAUCUUUAGCCAGAGUUGUUCACCAUUUCAGAAAAAAGCACGUCAUCUACAACAAGGCUGCUCAUGAUAUUUGAGUCAUCAGCAGAAGUCACCGUGUCAGUCCCCAUUUGUAAGUGCCACAUUCAUCCUGGUUCACAUUUAGGUAUAAUCAUCUUACUAUUUUGUUUCAUUUUCUAGUGUAGUUAUGCCUGGGCAUUUAUGUAUUAAAUUAUAUAUUAUUUUUAAUUAACUAAUUUAAUUUAAAUAAGUAAUGUAAAUUGUUUUCUUUUAAAUUAUUUUCUUUGUUUUAUACUUAGGGCAUUUGGGGUUCUUUUCAAGGUAUUUGUAUAAGUAAGGUAGGUUUCAGGAUAGGAAAGGGGGCAUAGUAAACUAUUCAGAGUAAAAAUGGGAUGUUUAGUCUGAUAGGAUUAAAAAUCCCUACUAUGGAAGGAGAAAACAGAGACUGGGGGACAAGGGACUACCUCUCCCACAAAGAAACACUCAAGUCCAACUAGGGAGAUGGAAAUUACGAGUAAACUGAGACAUCGGAAAAUAUGUAUAAGUAGAAGCUUUAAGACAAAAAAAAAGUAUACAGUAAGAAUACAAGAAGUCAGUUAGUUGUACAAAAAUAAUGGAGUGGAGACAUGGAGAGUAGCCCAGCCUCGUUAAAAGUAGAACACUACAGCGAAUCUCCUUGAGCUCCUGCUGCUGACUUCUACGAGGCUAUCUUAAUCUGAAUGGAUUUCCAGGUCCAGUUUUCCUGUGCACCAGCUGUGUUCUAACUCCCACUUUCACAGUAGUUAAUUCUGACUUGUUUCCUACUCCUUCUGCUGCCUGCUAUUUCUCUUCUCCUGGGUUCCUUUGCACCUGAGAUUAUUUGAGUAUAUGUGUAUUCAACCAGAAGAGCAUAACAUCGAUGAAGACUAAGAACAAGUACAAAACUCUUCGAGUUUGGCAAAUUGGAGAGUGGGGCCAUGCGGAGCGUGCUAAGAGAAUUAUGCUACCAUUGAUCGAAAUGAAGACUGUUUUGGAUUUGCAAGAAAGGAGAGUAUUUCCUUUGUGAUAGGAGCUCCCAGGAGACAAGACAUCUUAACUGAGAAGAAUGAACUACUAAUGAUGGAGUAGAAGACUCUUGGGCAUAUUAUAGAAGAUGAUAUUUUGGGAUAAGACAGUCUUCAUUUGCUCUCUAAUCAUACCAUGAGGGUGUCUAGCCAGAUUAUUAUCCACAUACACAUUUUAGGAAGUACAAUUUGUGACAAAUGUAAAAAUUGUGGAAUCUCAGCUCUUGCUAUAAGUUAUCCCUUCUAAUCCAUUCUGAAUAUUACUAACAGAAUGUUAUAGGUCACUCAUUGUGUUCUCUACAUAUCUUGUAUCUUUAAUUUUUUAACAGUUUUGAAUAUCCUCUUUUGUGAUUAAUAAUAAUAACUCUUUUUUACGAGUUCUGGCUAGGAUGCAGGCUUUUUAUGUACAUUAUCAUAUUCUCUUCAACCACACUGUGAAGUGUUGUCCGCAAAGGCACAUGGUUAGAAAGUGAGUGAUAGAAGCAAGAUUCAAACCCAAAUUCUCUGGAGAAUAUAUGCUCGUUUCACCAUGAGCUCUCUCUCUCCUUAGAUGCAACCCACAUUUCCUCCAGGGCCCAACAUAAGCUCCCCCUCUCCAGUGUAGCGUCUUGUCUGUCAGUCCUCUACACAGUGACUCCUUCUCCUUUGCAAUUCUUAUUGUCAUUUGGAACCACAGCAGCUUUUAUCCAAAGAUGGCCCUCCAGUGACCCACGCCCCUUGAUGUUCAGUCCCUUAACAGGCUGUCCCCGUGACUUGCAUUUUGACCCACAGUAUUUGACAGACAUGAUACUGCAUAACUUCCAAGGAUAGGUCAUAAGAAGCCUUGCACCUUUUUCCUCAGCCUCCAGAAACACUCACUCUGGGAGUACAGGCUCUGAGGGAAGCAAAAUAUCAUGUGAGAUGUCUGAGACCAUCUGAGAUGACUGCACCGUGCGGAAGUGCAUGGCAGCCACAAGAGGAUGCUGUGUGGAGAGAGACAGAUGCCCACAUAGCCCCUAUGGGUACCAGGCAUCCCAACAGAGGCACCACACAUACGAGUAAAGGAGUAAAAGAGCAUUCUGGACAUCCAGCCCAGUCGAGCCUGCAGAUGAUUCCAGCUCCAGCUUCCAUGUGUCAGCAACUGCAUGAGAGAUCCCAAACAAGAACCACCCAGCUGAGCCCAGUCAAGACACAGAACUAUGACUGGUAAUGAUAAGGUGUUUUUUAAACCACUAAAAUUUGGGGAGGUUUAUUUUACCUCAGUAAGUAUUUGGAACAGGAACUUACCAUAUAAUAUCCUCCCUCCCCACUGCUGGCACGUCGUAAUAUCUAUGGGCUGCUAUUCUAUCCAUUUUUAGAAUUUUAGUAAUUUACAUAAUUGAUCAAUUGCCAGCAUUUUGAUUGAAGCUUUUUGGAGGUUUGUCUGAUUUGAGAUGCAUCCUCAGCUUAGCACCUGGGACAUGCUAUGAUUUCAACAAGUGUUGAUUGAUUGAUUGAUAAGCUCCUUCAGAUCAGAGACUAUGUCAUGCACACUUGUAAUUGUCCUACAAUGUCCGGCACAGAGCUUGACUGUAGACCUUCAAGGAUAUUUGUGGGUGAGGUUUAUGUCAAUCAGCACACUGGAACAUACUGUGAGAAAUGAUGGAUCCCUCUUGUGAUCUGUUUUCUAUAACUCCCUCCUUAGUCUGUCCACGUGCCCUGGGCUUCAGCCUCAUGAGGCCAUACUGGGAGCAAAUACAUAAUCUGUGUAUUUAAUCAUGCUGCUUCCUCUGCUUGGAAUGUCUUCCAACCCCCUACCCUACCCAUUCCACUUUGUGAAAACUUAUUCAUUCUGCAAAAUCCAGCUAAAAUAUUGCCUUCUCUUUACACUUUUCCUGCCCUCUUACAGCACCAUAGUAAUCCCUUUUCUUGAGUUCAUGGUACCUAUUGAGUACUUACCACGGGGCAUUUCACUUCAUUGUCAUUGUCUCUGUUAGCUAGUGAGCUUUUCAAGGACUGGAGCUGUAGCUUAUUUAACUUUGACUCAUCAGCACAGUGAAUGGCACAAAGCAGGUGGUCAAUAAAUGACUGCUGGAUGAAUGAAUACAUUUUACAAGGAGAGAACAACCGUGUGAGAGAUAAGAAAUAAAUACAGUGUUGAGUGUUUUGUCACCACAAAGUGCUAUUAAUAGACAAUUGGCACCAAGCUCUCUGGCUGCUCCUGCCUAACUCAUGCUUUAAUCUUCCCACAAAGCCAACAGCCAUCCUUUAAUCAAUGCGGUUGCCUUUCUCUGAACCCUCUCUACUUUGUACUUUUUUUUGUCCUGAGAUGCCUGAAGCCUCUUCAUAUUCAGCCCAAAAUAGCACUGACCUUUCCGCUGCUGUAUCACCUGGCAGCUCAUAUCUAAUUUCCUUUGGCAAGAGCCUCUCGCUCGCUUUUAGCAUUUCUGCUUUCCAGGUUUCUCUCACUGCACCCUAUGUCGCUGAUUCUGUUUUUCCCUCAGAGAAUCUGGUUUCCAUUUUUUUCUGGUUUGAACUCUACCUGGCUAUUUAUUUCUUUUCCCCCAGGCAUUCAAUGGUACAGGAACGGGGAGGACUCGGGAGAUGACGGAGGAUAGCUUGUGGUGAUUUCUCCACAGGGUAGGAGCACACUUAAGACCUGGAAGAUAGCACUGCCCCAGCUCAUGCUGCCCCUCAACAGAUUGCUGUCCCCUUCCAGCCUUUCCAUGGAUUCAGGGGAAGCGUUUCAUUGGGUUGGGAUUCUCUUUUUAUCUUUUUUUGUUUUAUUUUUCCUUUCCUUUCUUUCUUCCUCUUUUUGUUUUUUUCUUUUUUAGUUUGGAUGAUAUCCAUCCCAGAUUGCAUGCUUAGAAAUCUGGGGGACACGUUAAGAAAAUUCUUACUCAGCAAUUCUUGGGAGCCAUCUUCCUCAAGGGCCAGCCCCAGAUUCCAGCUGACAUUAUUCUUUACAAAAUGGCUUCCCGUAGAGAACCUGAAAAAUAGCUCUGUCUCCAUACAUCCUACGAACUGAAAGGAGACUUUUAUAACAUGGAAGUCUUUGUGAGUCCCAGAAACUGACACUGUAACUCAGACUCAAACAAACGAAGAAAUUGUAAAAGUAAACAACAUACACUCGUGAAAAUCACGUAUUAAAAAUGACAAAUACAGCACGUCUAGAAUAUCUCCCAUCUUCUUAUGCCUUUGUGCUUCUCUACGUGCUAUUUCUUCAGCUUACAAUAACCUUACUCACCUUCUCGUUUUAUUGAAAUCCAACUUAUCCUUCAAAGCACAGUUUCAGAUGCCACUUCUUCCUUGAAAAGUCACCUUCUCCCCCAGAGGCAGUUUCUCACUCUCUCCUCCAAAUUCCUGCUGCCUUUUCUUUCUAGCAGUUUCCUAGCUUGUAAAACAGUCAACCUUAUGUUUGAGUCUCUUGUAGAGGCAUUAUUUCUCACCCUAAACUGUAAACUCCUUGGAGGCAGGAAGGCUGUCUUAUUCAUUCCUAUCACCUCUACCAACAAAAGCUACACCUUUUCAGACCAUGUCCUAGAAUGGCUCAUUGUAAUUUUGCUUUCAGAGUGAAAAAACAUGCAGAGCUCAGCCCUGCUGUGAUUGUCUGAGGGUUCGCAUCUUCUUAGACCACCACAGCUUGGAGGUUACAAGAGGCCUCUCUAGGUGUUCUAGAGUUCACCUCAGUGGA